This 69-nucleotide transfer RNA is filed under the name Fukomys damarensis (Damara mole-rat). It matches the Rfam family "tRNA". From Rfam's summary of the family: Transfer RNA (tRNA) molecules are approximately 80 nucleotides in length. Their secondary structure includes four short double-helical elements and three loops (D, anti-codon, and T loops). Lineage: Eukaryota; Metazoa; Chordata; Mammalia; Rodentia; Bathyergidae. The record is from Rfam by way of RNAcentral.
GAUUUAGCUCAGUGGCAAUGCACCUGCCUUCCAAGCACAAGACCCUGAGUUCAAUUCUCAGUAAGAUCA